Pelobates cultripes (western spadefoot toad) is the source of this 90-nucleotide non-coding RNA. The record is from the annotation of a GenBank genome assembly. Lineage: Eukaryota; Metazoa; Chordata; Amphibia; Anura; Pelobatidae.
UAUAAUCAAAGGAAAUAUAUUUCACUCACAUUUGGCAAUAAGCUCCACCAAAUGUGAGUGAAAUAUAUUUCCUUUGAUUAUAUACCACAU